Mauremys mutica (yellowpond turtle) is the source of this 1004-nucleotide long non-coding RNA. RefSeq lists it as uncharacterized. The record is from RefSeq and is a predicted model, not a curated record. Lineage: Eukaryota; Metazoa; Chordata; Testudines; Geoemydidae. The transcript has 4 exons.
GCAAACUCCCCUAGCCGGAGGUGUUUCCAUGGCAACGCAACGGGUUCCCCAUCUGGCCUUGCGCAGCCCCCCUCCCCGCGGACACCUAGGCCCCUUGGCGGCCCCACCGUGAAUCCCGCUGGGGGUCCCGCUGCCGUCCCGCGUGCGGGCAGCGAACAGACAGUGAAGAAAGGAGCUAGCGAGCUUGAGGAGAGACCCCUGGCCAAGCGCAAGAGAGAUGGUGAGCGGCAGUGUCAGGGGGUAGCCAGGUUAGGCUGUAGCCACAAAAACAACAAGGCGUCCGGCGCCACCUUAAAGACUAACUGAGAGUUACUUGGGCAUCAGCUUUCGUGGGUAAAAACCUCACUUCUUCAGAUGCACGGAGAGAAAGCUGCUGGGGGAGAAAGCAACACACACAGGAGAGGGUCACAGCCCCACACCCGUGCAGCAAGGGUAUGACUGACUGCUCCCAGACUGUUGUCCUUCCCACUAAGGGGGUGAGUGGGUUUGAAAUGGCACAAAGUGCAAAUGACAAGGACAAGCACUGACUGGAUACAGAAACUAGCCCAGCAGAAACAUCCUGCUAUGAGGAACUGUGCACUGCCUAAUGAUGCUCAAGGACCCUGUCAAUGUGUUCUUGGGAAAGGGGAGUUUAUGUUAGAGACGUGCAAACAAUUCCCAGGGAAUACUGGGUUUGCUCUGCUUGCAAAACAUUCAGAUUGUGAAAUUUCCUGGGUAUUUGGUUCUCUGAUAUUGUUCACAAAGUUUUGCCAUGGAUGUCAAUGGGAGUUUUGCCAUUCACUUCAAUGGAGACAGGAUAUCACCCCAGCAGUUUUCGGUUAAUUUUUUUUUUUUUGGCUGAAACAAAACUGAAUGUUUUUCCAGUUUUCAAAAAGCAAAACAGGUUUGUUUUUCUGUUUUUUGUUGUUGUUUCCCCUUUGUCUUUCCAUUAACCCUCCCUUUUUUCCACUAAGAAAGAAAGAAAAAGCCCCCCCCAAACUGAAAAAUAAAAAAGGUUCAGGUUU